This is a long non-coding RNA of Centruroides sculpturatus (bark scorpion), 411 nucleotides long. RefSeq lists it as uncharacterized. NCBI's taxonomy places the organism in Eukaryota, Metazoa, Arthropoda, Arachnida, Scorpiones, Buthidae. The record is from RefSeq and is a predicted model, not a curated record. The transcript is spliced from 3 exons.
AGAGAUUCUACAAUAUUUUUACUACGAUGUGCUCUUCCAUUCUGAGCCAUAAACAGAUAAUCUGCAUCUCUAUUAAUUUUCAAUUUUACUACACUCGGACAGAAAAGAGCAGUUAGGAGAAUAGAUAAUCUAACGAGGGGCUUGCCUCAUGGAACAACUUUCUACGGAAAACUGACACCUAUUUAAGUGUUAUUAACGUGAAGAAAAUAAGGAAAAUUCCACCUGAUUAGCCAAUUAACUACUAGUGUUCAGUGGUUUUUUACCCACUCGACCAUUGGAUCCCACGAAAAUCAAGAAAUGGAUUUAGGUAGAUUUUGUACAGCUAAUGGUCCUGAUCGAAAGUGUCAAUACACAAAAAGUCAAAAAAUAAAGAAUUUUUGAGAUUAAACAGGUGAAUGAGUGAAAAGUGAC